This 460-nucleotide ribosomal RNA is filed under the name uncultured bacterium. RNAcentral's name for it is "partial 16S ribosomal RNA". It matches the Rfam family "Bacterial small subunit ribosomal RNA", at positions 338 to 795 of the family's 1533-position model. The record is from RNAcentral.
CCUACGGGAGGCAGCAGUGAGGAAUAUUGGUCAAUGGACGAGAGUCUGAACCAGCCAAGUAGCGUGAAGGAUGACUGCCCUAUGGGUUGUAAACUUCUUUUAUAUGGGAAUAAAAUGUUCCACGUGUGGGAUUUUGUAUGUACCAUAUGAAUAAGGAUCGGCUAACUCCGUGCCAGCAGCCGCGGUAAUACGGAGGAUCCGAGCGUUAUCCGGGUUUAUUGGGUUUAAAGGGAGCGUAGGUGGAUUGUUAAGUAAGUUGUGAAAGUUUGCGGCUCAACCGUAGAAUUGCAGUUGAAACUGGCAGUCUUGAGUACAGUAGAGGUGGGCGGAAUUCGUGGUGUAGCGGUGAAAUGCUUAGAUAUCACGAAGAACUCCGAUUGCGAAGGCAGUUCACUGGACUGCAACUGACACUGAGGCUCGAAAGUGUGGGUAUCAAACAGGAUUAGAUACCCUAGUAGUC